UAUUGUCUUCAGGGCAGGGUGAAAAUCCCGACCGGCGGUUAGAGUCCGCGACCCACGUAAGUGGUGGAAUCGUUAGAUACCGAUAGUUAAAGUCUAGAUGGAAGAAGACAGAC
Molecule: non-coding RNA, 113 nt
Organism: Lactobacillus kefiranofaciens subsp. kefirgranum
Lineage: Bacteria; Bacillati; Bacillota; Bacilli; Lactobacillales; Lactobacillaceae
Source: Rfam